This is a long non-coding RNA of Phascolarctos cinereus (koala), 441 nucleotides long. RefSeq lists it as uncharacterized. The record is from RefSeq and is a predicted model, not a curated record. NCBI's taxonomy places the organism in Eukaryota, Metazoa, Chordata, Mammalia, Diprotodontia, Phascolarctidae.
GGGGGUGGGGGGCAAGCGAGGGAGGAAGCGUGCCGCUUAGAGAGCAGGCUAAUCAGCAUCUGGGUAAAACACAUCGCCAUAGAAGCCAAGAGGAUUUUCCUUCCCUAGAGUGUAGCAUCCAUCUAAGUGCCUGAGUUACUUUCAAAGAAGUUCAACAAACCGACCAGCCUCAGAAGCCUGCAUUCAGCAGAACUGAGGCCCGUGGCAGCUGGGUAAGAGAAGAAGGCAGCCUGACAGAGCAGACAGGAAGCCUGAAGCCCAGGAAGACCUGGGCUCAACUCCUCCCACUGAGAGGUUUACUGUUCUAAAGGCAGUGACGGCCCUGGUAUAAUCCCUGACCAUCCUCACUCUGGUGAAGUGAGGGAGCAGUGAUAGGUUCCUGAAUCCCUUACCCCACGUCUUCCUGCCCAUCACUCCCUGUGUCCCCUUCCCCAUUUGCAU